This is a transfer RNA of Cavia porcellus (domestic guinea pig), 71 nucleotides long. It matches the Rfam family "tRNA". From Rfam's summary of the family: Transfer RNA (tRNA) molecules are approximately 80 nucleotides in length. Their secondary structure includes four short double-helical elements and three loops (D, anti-codon, and T loops). The record is from Rfam. Lineage: Eukaryota; Metazoa; Chordata; Mammalia; Rodentia; Caviidae.
UGGGAUUUAGCUCAGCGGGAUAAGCACCUGCCUUGCAAGCAGGCGGUCGUGAGUUCAAUCCCCAGUACCAA